CAAUUUCCUGAGCACAAUGCAACUACUGGGAGUACUUGAGCACAGCACUGUACUGAGAUUUAAUAGCAUAUUUGAAGGUUUACCUAAAACAUUAAAAGCUCAUUUAAUUAAGAUUACUUCGCAAGUUAGGCAGUACUGAUGGACGCUAUAAAGAACUUAAAGACACCAUCAGAAAAGCCACACCUCCUCUAAUACCAUAUUUGGCAUUGACUAUGAGGGAGCUGGUUAGUGUGUCCAAGAGUGCAUCAAACUAUAUUGAAGGAGAUUUGGUUAACUUUACUAAAAUGAGAAGAUACACAAGAAUCAUACACAGUCUUUUACAGCAUCAGAAAGACCCUUAUGAUUUUAACUUUGAUCCUGAGAUAUUGAAAGUAUUGCUGACAACAGAGUUGCCAGGAGAUGAGAAUGCUCUUUAUGAAUAUGUCGAUGAGCUUAGAGACCGUCCUUUAUAACCUUCUUCCUCAUCCUCCUCUUCUUCUGAACAGUAGAUAAAUGCAUUAUCAUUAUAACACUUCAUGUGUUUCAAACAUGUUAACUUUAUACUGUCUGUUUUGUUAUAUAAUAAUUUUCACUAUAAUGAGUGCAAUGCAUAUUUUUAUCAAUUACUUGUUUUGCAUCUACAAUUAAA
Molecule: long non-coding RNA, 628 nt
Organism: Amphimedon queenslandica
Lineage: Eukaryota; Metazoa; Porifera; Demospongiae; Haplosclerida; Niphatidae
Exons: 5
Source: RefSeq, a predicted model, not a curated record